This is a long non-coding RNA of Cebus imitator (Panamanian white-faced capuchin), 4006 nucleotides long. RefSeq lists it as uncharacterized. Lineage: Eukaryota; Metazoa; Chordata; Mammalia; Primates; Cebidae. The transcript has 2 exons. The record is from RefSeq and is a predicted model, not a curated record.
CACGACGGCCGGGCGCGCCGUCGUGACGUCAUCAGCGCGUACCGCCCCCACUUCCGAGCGCACGGGUGGUAGCUCAUAGAGCCCGGGCGUUCCGGGAACGCGAUCCUACUCGGCGGCCCUCCCUGCUUGGAUCGGCCACUCCUGAGGCUGAGGAAUUUCAUUCCUUUUUCGAAAACGGAUACCCAGGAAGCCUCUCGGUGCUCCCCCGUGGCUGGGCGAGUCUCCUGGGCCCCGAGAGGAGGCGGUGACAGGCCAGGGCCAUCGGCAGCGGUAGCAGGGGACUGCAUAGGGCUGCCUCGGGCCGACUAGCAGGCUCGCCGCGAGCCUUGGCGGCCCCAGUCCCCAGCGCAUGGAAUGUGCCCCGGGCCCCAUGAGCUCCCGGACCCGCGGUUGUGAGACAGGGCUUGGGCUGCUUGGAGCUAGUGAGCCAUCGGCCACGGCAGGCAUUUGAACAGAGCUUGGAGGCAAAGGGGUGAGAUGGUGCAUCCAUUGAGGUCACUUCAGGAGAUGACACUCCUGUGGCUAAGUGUAGCCUCCCAGGUAAGGCCCAGUCAAUGGAGAAUCCUCAGGUGGGCGAUGGGUGGAGGAUACGUGUGGUUUGGCAGAGGGGACAAAUGUGACAACAGUGUAAUAAGGGCCAUGUUGGGGAGGGUCAGUGGUCAGGGCCUGGCCCAACCUGAGCAGAAGGGAGGCUCUCUUAGGGAUAUUUGCCAGGUAGGAAUGGGUGGAGUGGAACUACAGGGCCACCAUGUUUCCCAUAGGUCACACACGUUGUUGGCCUUGUCAUGUUUAUCCACGAAUCCUGGUGUUCUCUGUGGUCCUCCCAUCGUACCUUUCAGGCUGUCCUUUCAGUUCUCCACUGUCCCUGCAUCACCCCUGCCCCUGUCCCUUGUGUGUUUCUGUUCAGUCCACGUUCCCAGGUGUUGAGGUGGCCCCUGAUUCUGUGCCCCUUACCUAAGACCCUGUGCAGGGAAUCUGUGAAAACAGAGGAAAUAAAAAGUGGGGAAAAUACUACUCAUGCAUCAUUGACCAAUAUUGUGUUUGUUGUGAGUGCUGAGAGGGACACAACCCCAAAACCAGCAUUCUCUUUGUUGGCUAAGAGGAGACAGACCCACUGUCAGGAGUCACUGGCUUUUUUGAAUACUAAGCUGACUGCCAUUCAUCACCUACACAGGGACCCGGAAGACGGGUGGGGAGGAGGUGGCAUGCAGCAGUGUGUGAGGGGAAUAUCUAGGAAUCUGGGGAAGGGGAGGAUGGAGCCGGGUAGCUGCCUGGAAGCCUCAGUACCACAGCGGUAAGGACGAGGCUGGGAGGUUGGCCAAGUCCUGCCCUGUGUGUGGUCACCACCUCACCUGAUCCCUUGUCCUUUUCUCUAAGGCCAUUGUCUCUCCUGGGCAGUUGUAAGGUUCAGAUUCCAGGCUGUGACUUUAGCUGGUCAAUGUGGCUCUGGCUGGAACAGGACAUGGUGACCUGGAAUCUCCAUCCACAACCUUGGUAUGCACUCAGCCACCUCCUGGGGCUCUCCCCAGCACUGACCAAGCUUCCUGCUUAGUAGGGAGAGGUGGAGCACAGGCUAGAAGUCAAGCCUCUUCUGCCUGCAGACUAGCUUGGAGACCCGCCCAUGUGUCUCUGCCCCUCUGCCCCCAAGGGCAGGUGUCCCAGUGGCCUUAGUCUGUGCUAAUCCCUGCUGUGGGCCUCCUUUCUGCAGUCUAGUUAAAUGCAACUUGGCUUCCUCCAGGCCCCUGCCUGUCACUCCAGCCUCCAGCUCUUUCCUGCACAGACACCUUUCCCCUUGGGCCUCAGCUCCAAGACUGGUGGUUGCCUUCUUCUUGAAGCGAUGUGUGAGGCAGCCUAGAGUGUGGGUUCUAUCUACCAGGGUAGGUGGUCCCAAGGGACUCAGAUCCAGCUCAGAAAUUUCUGGCUGGGUUACCUGAUGUCUGCCCUGUGAUUCAAGGCAUAAACAAGGUGGCCCUAAGGACGGCAGGGGUCCAAAGAGGAUGGAGACCUAUGCCAUUCUACACCCUGCUCGAAGCUAGUGCAGCCUCAGCCCCUUCCUGUGGAGGGGGACAGGGACAGGACUCGGUGUAGGUGUGUGCAGUGAGUGGCUGGCAUCUCUGAAGAUGAGUAUGUGGGGGUGGGGGUCCCCUUCAGCCAUCUGUGAGGCCUUGCCUGCUCCCAGAACUGCCUGGAACCUGGGGAGACUGUAAACAACGUCCUGCAACCCCAGAAAAAAGCUGCGAUGUGUGAGGGCUUGCUCUGCCUAAGCAUGAUUCUGAGCACCUGCAGGGAGUACAGCAAAUGGAUGCUGAGGCCUGGAGGGCAGACCCCAGAGAGCUGAGUGCCCCUCCAGGUUUCAUGGCUGGCACUAUGGACCAGUGCGGCCCACUGCCUGUCACCCCACAGGAAAGCUUCUGAGGUGCAGAACCAGUGGCCUGAGUUCCAGGGACAGGAAGUGUCUUGGUGUGGGGUUCUUGUGGUGGCACUUGCAUGCCCUAGUGCACAGUGGGAGGAGGGAGGCUCUGUUGCCUGGGCCCUUUCUCCUCUGUGCCAACAGAUUGGGAAGUGAGCAUGGAGAGUGCCUGGCCAUCCCAUCACAGCACAGGUUGAGUGCUGAGAUACCCACAGCCCUUCCCAGCCUGGUGGCUCUCCCCAAGGCUUGAAAACCCUGUGCUCCCUUUGUACCCCCAAGCCCAUGCUUGGCUCCCAGAUCCACCUCGAGCCCUUUGGACCCCAGACGUCUCCCCAGAUGCACACUCCUGGGAUUCUGGUACUGUGUGAGGUUGCUAGAACAGGGCAGUCUCCCCAGGGAUGGGAUCUGCUUAUAUGGAGUUUCCAGCUGGCAAAAGCUUAUUUUCCAGUCUGAGCCAAAUGCCUGACUUUUCCCCCACAGAGGCACUUGGACAGGAAGCUGGCUUCUCUGCACAGCCAGGGGCACCGAGUGAGCCCCAUCCUUCCCAAGUGUCCUCCACGUGGCUCACUGGCUGUGGAAAGAAGGGCUUGGCCCCAUGGGGACAUGCCAGUGCAGAGCUCUGGCCUCCAGCCAGAGGGACACUUUUCCUUGAGGCUCAUGGCUGUAGCACAAGGUGCCCAAACGACUCUGGCCAGGUAGCCCCGCCUCCUACUGCCCCAGGGCAGCUGUCUCCCAGCCUGGGUGAAGGAACAAGGAAGGGCCCCUGCUCAGAGCCUUCGGGCAGCAAAGGCCAGACACCCCUGCCUGGGGUCCAGAGGCCCCAGCAUACACCCAUCCCCUCUUCCUAUGAGCAGCUCAUUUCACUCACUGAGGAGCUGGGCAUGCCCCAGAGGGGCCCUGAGCAACCCAACCCUUUCCUAAGCUUCCCCCUGGGUGAGGGGCAGGCAGUUGUCCUGGGGCUUCAUCUCCCGGGCCCAGCCCCCUGCUCCGAACACUGCUCUCUGCCAGGCCACCCCAAGGCCUUGUGAACAUACCCUUUUACCCACACCAUGGGAUCUUGCCCACAGGUCACAGGGAAGGCCAGGGUGCAGCCCAGAUCCUUCUUGGCCUGGUGGUCGGCUUCUUAGGGAGUCAACACUGUGGUCACAGUGCCCUGCCCUGGGUGGACACUAUUCUCUCCCUGUCCCUCUUCUGCAGUGUCCUCAGAUGAGGGUGGCCUGGUCCCUGCAGAGGCACAGCCUCCAAAGUCCAUGCAUAGAUGGGCCCAUAUAGGGAUGAACACAGGACAGGAGGCUGCAACAGGAUCCGGUUUAUUCUGCCUUGGCAGGGUGGUCCUGAGAGUGGCGGGUGCCACCCUGUCCUGGGUGGAGGGAGGGCCCGAGGGCCAGUUAAGGCCAAUGGCGGGAGAAGCGGGGGGCUGCAGCCCCUGGAAUGCGGUGAAGCCAGGCCGAGGCCCGGAGGCAGCUGUGGUAGGCCGGGGCAGGGUGGAAGGCACCGGACUGGGACCGGGCCAGGGCUACAGGGCCGAGGACCCAGGCCACACGGGCACCCCGGGAGGCGGGGCACAGGGUUACAUGACACAGAACAUGAAACACA